This 300-nucleotide ribosomal RNA is filed under the name Citrobacter sp. UC1CIT. RNAcentral describes it as "bacterial LSU rRNA". It matches the Rfam family "Bacterial large subunit ribosomal RNA", at positions 2631 to 2925 of the family's 2925-position model. The record is from RNAcentral. Lineage: Bacteria; Pseudomonadati; Pseudomonadota; Gammaproteobacteria; Enterobacterales; Enterobacteriaceae.
UCGGUCCCUAUCUGCCGUGGGCGCUGGAGAAUUGAGGGGGGCUGCUCCUAGUACGAGAGGACCGGAGUGGACGCAUCACUGGUGUUCGGGUUGUCAUGCCAAUGGCAUUGCCCGGUAGCUAAAUGCGGAAGAGAUAAGUGCUGAAAGCAUCUAAGCACGAAACUUGCCCCGAGAUGAGUUCUCCCUGAGACUAUAAGUCUCCUGAAGGAACGUUGAAGACGACGACGUUGAUAGGUCGGGUGUGUAAGUGUAGCGAUACAUUGAGCUAACCGAUACUAAUGAACCGUGAGGCUUAACCUU